GACGAAGAACGUAGCGAAAUGCGAUAAGUAAUGUGAAUUGCAGAAUUCAGUGAAUCAUCGAAUCUUUGAACGCACAUUGCGCCCCUUGGUAUUCCGAGGGGCAUGCCUGUUCGAGCGUCAUUAUAACCCCUCAAGCUCAGCUUGGUGUUGGGGCCUGCUGCACUGGCAGCCCUUAAAAUCAGUGGCGGCGCCAUCUGGCUCUAAGCGUAGUAAUUCUUCUCGCUAUGGAGUCCUGGUGGAUGCUUGCCAUCAACCCCCAAUUUUUCUAUGGUUGACCUCGGAUCAGGUAGGGAUACCCGCUGAACUUAAGCAUAUCAAUAAGCGGAGGA
This 329-nucleotide unclassified non-coding RNA is filed under the name soil metagenome. Its description in RNAcentral is "partial contains 5.8S ribosomal RNA, internal transcribed spacer 2, and large subunit ribosomal RNA". The stretch from base 1 to 120 matches the Rfam family "5.8S ribosomal RNA", at positions 35 to 154 of the family's 154-position model. The record is from RNAcentral.